This 73-nucleotide transfer RNA is filed under the name Myxococcales bacterium. RNAcentral's name for it is "tRNA-Ala". It matches the Rfam family "tRNA". Rfam says of the family: Transfer RNA (tRNA) molecules are approximately 80 nucleotides in length. Their secondary structure includes four short double-helical elements and three loops (D, anti-codon, and T loops). Lineage: Bacteria; Pseudomonadati; Myxococcota; Myxococcia; Myxococcales. The record is from RNAcentral.
GGGGACGUAGCUCAAUCGGGAGAGCGCCUCGUUCGCAACGAGGAGGUUGCGGGUUCGAUCCCCGCCGUCUCCA